This 254-nucleotide unclassified non-coding RNA is filed under the name uncultured fungus. RNAcentral describes it as "sequence contains ITS1, 5.8S rRNA gene". The record is from RNAcentral. Lineage: Eukaryota; Fungi.
UCGAAUUUAAAUUCAUUGAGGGAAGAUGGAAUAGCAGUCUAGGAUUGUCGCUGGCUCUCUACAUGUGUGCAUGUGCACGUCCUUGCUAUCUCUGUCGACCUUUCAACAUACACACACCUGUGCACCUAUUGUAGGUCCUCGUAAGAGGAUCUAUGUAUUUUCACUUCACAACCCUAUCGUAUGUCCAUAGAAUGUUAUCUCAAAGACCUUCCGAGCUUGAUUGAUCGGUUGGUCAAUGAAAUAAAAAUCAUAUA